Molecule: long non-coding RNA, 525 nt
Filed under: Equus caballus (horse)
Lineage: Eukaryota; Metazoa; Chordata; Mammalia; Perissodactyla; Equidae
Description: lncRNA (ENSECAG00000050308.1)
Source: RNAcentral
GUGUUAUUCUAAAGUAGUAAACUUGGGGAAAUAAACUUAUUUUAGCCAUUUGACAUUGUUGAAAAUGUUGUUACAACUCUUCCUUAGGUUGAAUGACUGGGGCUUUUAAAAAUUACUAUUUAAAAAAUAACUUUUCUUCAUUACAUAAACAAUACGUUGUCAUUACAGAAAAAGGUAGAAAAUACAGAUUACCAAAAUGAAGAAAAUAACCCCUGGAUCCUACCCAACUUCAGACAAUGACUAAGACCUUGAACGUACUGAAAUACUGUUUUGAAUCUGUACAACUCGUUCUUUAGAAUAUCCCCAGUGGUGUGGUCAUGGCACAGAAGGGAAGGACCGUGUCGACUUAGUUGUUGAGUUCCCAUGUGUAGCACACUAUCUGGAGCGUACUGCUGAGGAAGCACUCGAUAAGCUCAGAAUGGAUGAAACAAGACGUUUUCUUAAUGUGGCUUGUAAGGGGCUCUGAAAACAAUUUCCAAAGAGGAAUUUCAAAAACAUUCUGAGUGACGGGCUGCUCUCAUUCAG